This 658-nucleotide ribosomal RNA is filed under the name uncultured bacterium. RNAcentral describes it as "bacterial SSU rRNA". It matches the Rfam family "Bacterial small subunit ribosomal RNA", at positions 110 to 762 of the family's 1533-position model. The record is from RNAcentral.
GUAAUAUAUCGGAACGUACCCUAGAGUGGGGGAUAACGUAUCGAAAGUUACGCUAAUACCGCAUACGAUCUAAGGAUGAAAGUGGGGGAUCGCAAGACCUCAUGCUCGUGGAGCGGCCGAUAUCUGAUUAGCUAGUUGGUAGGGUAAAAGCCUACCAAGGCAUCGAUCAGUAGCUGGUCUGAGAGGACGACCAGCCACACUGGAACUGAGACACGGUCCAGACUCCUACGGGAGGCAGCAGUGGGGAAUUUUGGACAAUGGGCGAAAGCCUGAUCCAGCAAUGCCGCGUGAGUGAAGAAGGCCUUCGGGUUGUAAAGCUCUUUUGUCAGGGAAGAAACGGUGAAAGCUAAUAUCUUUUGCUAAUGACGGUACCUGAAGAAUAAGCACCGGCUAACUACGUGCCAGCAGCCGCGGUAAUACGUAGGGUGCAAGCGUUAAUCGGAAUUACUGGGCGUAAAGCGUGCGCAGGCGGUUUUGUAAGUCUGAUGUGAAAUCCCCGGGCUCAACCUGGGAAUUGCAUUGGAGACUGCAAGGCUAGAAUCUGGCAGAGGGGGGGUAGAAUUCCACGUGUAGCAGUGAAAUGCGUAGAAUAUGUGGAGGAACACCGAUGGCGAAGGCAGCCCCCUGGGUCAAGAUUGACGCUCAUGCACGAAAGCGU